Molecule: long non-coding RNA, 5404 nt
Filed under: Limulus polyphemus (Atlantic horseshoe crab)
Lineage: Eukaryota; Metazoa; Arthropoda; Merostomata; Xiphosura; Limulidae
Description: uncharacterized LOC106465257
Source: RNAcentral
UUUUCCCGUGCGGUUUCAUUCAGAAAAUGUCCGACAGUAGGUUAAUGUAAAGUAUGUGUGAUAGAAAAGCGUUUGUCGUCUUUUUUGUUACGUGGUAUAUUAGUUUGUUUGUUUUUUGUCCAAAUGUAAGGAGUAAAAAGGAAGAGAUGUUACCGAUUUCUGUGUCACUGGUGUCAGAAAAUGUUUUUUCACAAAAGCCAUGCUGAGCGACACCAGUUUUAUCACUGUAAAAAGAGACCAGCAGGUCUGCAGAAACGGUUUGUGUGUGAAAUUUGCAAAAAAGAGUAUUGUCGACCUGAAGUGUUGGAACAGCACAAGAUAAUGUACCACUAGGACAACAGAGGUUAUCUCAAGCCCUGCACUGCAGCUCUAAAGUUGUAGCUAAUACUUUACAGAAUAGCAGAGCUGCUUCUGUGUGUGUGAUGUUAGAGAUAUAUAUAUAUAUUUACAAUCACAUUUAGGUUUGUAAACAUGAGAUGCUUUUUAUGAUAAACAAAAUAUUCAGGUCAGAUUUUCAUGGGGGAAUAUAAGAAUUUUUAUAUAUUUUAAAGAUAGUAGAUAUUGUUAAAAUCCAGAUAAUGUCAAGUGUUCUAGUCCUGAUUUGUGUGUGUUAAGUAAACAAAUUGUACACUAUGUAGUUUUAUUUUAAUAAAGCAGUGUCUUAAAAUUGUUAAUGUGUUUAGUAUGUGCUGGUUGUUACACAUUACUGUGUUUGCUAUGUGCUGGUUAAGUCGUGAUAUAAAUAAUUUAUUUGAGCUUAUGGAAGUUUGUUUUUUUUAAUCUAAGCAUAAGCACUCAUCCUGAUUUGUUGAGUAAUUGUAAGUUUGAGUCAUGUUGGAGUGAAUGACCCAACCUGUAAAAUCAUACUUGUUAACAAAAUGCAUAGUAUAGUUUUAAUCUUAUAUGAAAACAUAUAAAUUGAUGUCUUGUGUGACAAUACAUCACAGUAACACUGUAACAAAUUUUUCUGUACUGGCUAUAUAUGGAUUUCCAGUCAGAAGAAUAUAACAUUAGGACUAUACACUUUGUUUGCUAUGUGCCACUGCCAACAAGGCCUUUUAUUCAGUACUAGAGCUCAGCUGGUUAUGCAACACACAAAACCUCAGUUGAAAUGUUAUUUAUACCAGUUUGGUAUAAGAUAUCGAUUAUUGUGGUACAUAAGGCCUUACACUGGAGAACAGAUCACAAUUAUGUGGCAUAAGGCAUUAUACAGCAUGAUAAUUGAUAGCUUAUAGAUUACAAACUAAACAUUUUAAAAGUGUGAAAUUAAGUUCUGUACACUGUAAUUUGACUUUAAUUUCAUUUUAUAAUAUUCAAAGUGAAAGUUUUCCCACAACUGUGGUUCGAUCUGUAUGUUCUAAUUUGGGUGUUCUUGAAGAAGAGAGUUGAUUUCAUUUUUGAAAGAAUUUGUUUGUGUUGUUUGAUAUAUGGCUCUGUAAUGAAUGUACUUACAGUAGAAUCGUAAGCAUGUGAAAUUAGCGGUACAAAUUUUCCUACUGGCUAAGGGUUUACACCAAUUGUAUCUCAUGAAUGAAGACAGUAUUAGCAUAUGAACUGCUGCCACAUAAGUAAAGUUUGUCUUAAUGAAUAUUUGAAACAAGGGACAUAACAGCAAGUCUUGUUAUGCAUGUUUUACAAUAGAGCUUAAGUUUUUGUAUGGCAUGAGUGUUUGAUGUUUCAUAAAAUUUGCAACUGUUAUUUAAGAGGUAGGCUAUUCACUUUAUGACUCCAUUCACUACUUUUGUUCAUCUUGAGUUGAAAUAGACUUUGCUUUGUGAGUGUUAAAAGUUACUUAAUGAUGAAGUAUGGGUUAACGUGGUGUAAUGGGCUGUACACUUCCACAAGGAUAAACUGUUAUACAACAACAUUACUGAUGCUAGCAACAGCAUCAGUAACUUACCCAAAAGUCUUGCUUGUUUCAGAAAAGAUAACUUGUUGUACAAAAUGUUGUAACUAUGAAGACAACAUGAAUAGUUUAAUCGAGGAGGCUGAUUCAUUACCAACCUUGUUUAAAUGUACUUAUGGAAAUAAAGGAAAUAUUUCAAAACAUGUAUUAAAUUGACUUAUUUUGACAAUUUUUUUUUACUUUUAUUGGUGAUUGUGAGAAUUAGAUGAUAAGCAAGUUACGUGUACUUGAUAAAAUAUUUUUUGACUUUGAAAUUUUCAUGGUUUGAUAUUCAAUUUGAUCUGAGAGAAAAUUAAAUCGGACGUUUUUCAGAGAAUUGUUUUGCCUUAAAACUAAUGAAUAUACACUACUGUUAGACAACAUCUUGGAUCAUUAGUCACCCUCAGAAGAGCAAGAAAAUGUACAGAUUUCAUAGAAAUUUCAAGUUUUUAAGGACUGCAACAACCUGGAGUGAUGACCCGAGACAUAAUUCACUCCACUACUCCAGGACAAUGCAGUCUGUAUGAACUUUGUAUGUACUAUAGUGUAAAUCUCUUAAAAUGAGAAUUAAAUUUGUGUAACUGUGACAUUGGUUUGUUGUUUUUUUUCAAGUGUAAUGCUAAGCAACACAAAACAGUUUUAUAGUUGUGUUAAUAACACGAUAGUUGUGUUAUUAACAGAUAAUGGUUGUUUUUAUCACUGGUGCACAGUUUGAUAGGUGUGUUAAUAACAGAUAAUGGAUGUUUUUAUCACUGGUGCCACAAUAAAUUGUUUUUGCCAAGGUUAUGCAGAACAAUUCCAACUGUACCAUCAUAAUAGGAAACCUCCAGGUUUGGCAAAAGAAAGAUUCAACUUUGACAUUUGUCUGAAGGAAGGAUUGCUGUCAUCCUGAGGUGUUUCAACAUUACAGGUUGGCACAUAGCAUGAAAACAAAAGGAACUUCCUGAUAAUGUUAAAUGCAUUUGAGUUACUAAACACCGUUUGUUGUGUUUUAUCUCAGCUCAGACACCUGUACUUGUUGAGAGCUUAUAGUAGUAAAUAUUGCUAACAAAUUGGAAGAGUAUCUCAAAAUCAUUGGACAAUAGACCAGAUCUCAAAUGCAGUGUUUGUCUGAAGACUUUCAGUCGUGCUGAUGUUGUGAGGAGGCACAUGCUUCAACAUUUUGUCUCUCCUCCAAAAUAUGGCUGUGAUGUAUGCUUCAAAAUGUUUACCAGGAAAGACUACUUGAAAUACCACAGGAACAGAGUUUGUGGAAAGUAUGAAGCAAUUCAUCAACAAGGUUAUACCAGCUUGCCAGGAGAGAGACUUUAAAUUAAUUUGUGUUACAAACUGGGUAUAGUAAUAUCCACCAAUUACCUUAUAUAUAUAAUAUAAACCAGAGUAUUCCAUCUCUUUGUCUUGUGUACUAAGUUGCAUGUAGUCAUCUAACCCGAUUUUAAAGAAACUUAGUAGAGGAACUUGGGUUGACCACUCAAAUAUUGAGUGUCAAAUGAUAAGCUCAAAGAAUGAUUAAAUUUUUGCAACCAUUUCAUUUCUAAUGUUUUAAUGCAGUGAAUGAUGGCUCAACCGAGCAUAUAGGUCAGUAGCGAAGUAUAGGAAACCAACGUGGAAGGGAGCCAGCUCUAACAUUUAUUUGUAACAAUACUUUUUAAGCCAAACAUUACAAGGUAUACCUGCCAGUUAGGGAAUAUCCAGUAAUGUAAUGCUGGAAAAAAGUGGGUUUUUGGAAAAUAAAAAAAAUAUUUAAUAAACGGGAAAGAGUAUAAGAAACAUAAAAAUGUAUCAUUUGUGACUUGUUUGUCCCAUACUUUGAUCGUUCUUUUCCACUCAAAAGAAUGUUCAAAUACGUUAUUAUUACCAACUUCAAUAUUUUUAUUAUUCAAAUUAAUUUUAAUUUCUUAUUAGCACUUUCAUUAAGUAUUAAAUUAUUAAAUAUGUGCUAUGUACUCCCUGGCCCCUCAGAAUAAUUUAUUGGUGUGAAACUUUUGAUAACUCUACUAGAAUCAAUGAUAAAGUUUUUUUUAUUUGGCUUUAGAAUUAAAGAUCUCGGCAUUUAAAGACAAAACUUUCAAGUCAUUCUUCACACAAUGUUUCUAUUGUCUUUGUUUUGCAACUGUAUCUUCUAUAAAUUAUUCCAUCCUUCUUACUUAACUCAAAAUAAAAGUUACAAUGACAUUUUUUACAUUUUAUUCUGUUUUAAUUUUUGUCCUACAUAAAAUAGUUCUCACAUUUAUUUAGGCAUUGAGGAGGUUUCUGUUUUCCAUUAUUUUAAUAAUAAUAUCAGGUCUUCUACCUGUUAAUAUGGGAGUCAAUGAGACAAGAGUGCUUCAGUAAGUUCCUCUCAGUUAGACUGUGGAUAUGUUUAAUAAUAAUCUAAACACUGUACCACAUUCAGUGUAAGCAUCUAAAGGUUGUCAUAUAAACUUCUUGUUCAUAGUAAUUGAGCUUGGAAAUACAUUAUGAAUGAAUGCUUUGUGUUCACUGUUGUAAAGUGAAGCUACUUACUGUAAUUUAAGAGAGAAAAAAAAUGUGUCUGUGAGUAAUUCCUUGUUGAAGUAACUGAAAAAUCAUUUGUACUUUAUUAACUUUCUGUAUGUUGCAUAUAUUAAACACAGGAUGAUCUCCAAGGCCAGAUUAACCAAAAGGCAGAGUAGACAGUUGUUUGUGACUCUACAGCAUCAAGAGGCCCAGAGUGGUUAUGCUUGUUUUUUAAAUAGCUUUCUCAGAUAAUAUUUCAAAUUGAAAUAUGGCCUUAAUCCAGACCUGACAGUAUGAACUUGGCUAAUUAGUUUAGAAAUAAUAUGCUGUUGGGUAAAUAUUUAUGUGUUGCUAAUAUAUAUAUGUUAUGCUCUAAGUAUUUGUGUAAAUUUUAGUAACUGCUUUCUUUUUUUUAAGUCUGUUAUACAAUUAAGCACUUAUAUAUUAUUGCUGAGUUAUGAAAUUAGUGUUUAUUUUUUGGUAUCUGCAGACCAAGAGAUAUUUGUUAAAUAUAUUGAAAUUCUUUGCUAUUUAAAUCACAUAUUUAGUAUAAAACUUAAGUAUUAAACGAGGUCUUGUUUAUAAAGUAUAUGUAACUGUACCAAAAAUGUUUAAUAAAGUCACUUUUGAUCUGUGGGGAUCAGAGUUCUCUCUCGGGGAUUUAAACCGAACAAACAGUAAUUGCAGUAAGAAUUAAGAUGUAGCUUAAUAUAACAGCAGUCAAGUUUAAAUGUUUUGUAGUUGUAGGAGUAUCAAAAUUUGUUUAAGGGUUAAGCAGAAUAUAUCAUAUUCUCAUAUAGUGUGUGUCUAAAAUCAGUAUUAAUCCUGAAAUUAUGAAAUCUGAGAAUGAAGCUUUAAAAACAAUUGUGUGAAAGGUUAGUGCAUUUGUAAAAGUCCUAAUUACUGUUUGUCAUAACUUAUAUGAAGAGGUUUUUAAUAUUUGAUGAGCUUUAAAAGUGUUAAUAUUUAUUCACCACCACAAAGACAACUCGAAGAUUUUGUGCUGUUUAGCUUAAGAUGAAACUCUAAGAUGUGAAUUUU